This 510-nucleotide ribosomal RNA is filed under the name uncultured bacterium. Its description in RNAcentral is "bacterial SSU rRNA". It matches the Rfam family "Bacterial small subunit ribosomal RNA", at positions 26 to 518 of the family's 1533-position model. The record is from RNAcentral.
AGGACGAACGCUGGCGGCGUGCCUAAUACAUGCAAGUAGAACGCUGAAGACUUUAGCUUGCUAAAGUUGGAAGAGUUGCGAACGGGUGAGUAACGCGUAGGUAACCUGCCUACUAGCGGGGGAUAACUAUUGGAAACGAUAGCUAAUACCGCAUAACAGCAUUUAACACAUGUUAGAUGCUUGAGAGGAGCAAUUGCUUCACUAGUAGAUGGACCUGCGUUGUAUUAGCUAGUUGGUGAGGUAACGGCUCACCAAGGCGACGAUACAUAGCCGACCUGAGAGGGUGAUCGGCCACACUGGGACUGAGACACGGCCCAGACUCCUACGGGAGGCAGCAGUAGGGAAUCUUCGGCAAUGGGGGCAACCCUGACCGAGCAACGCCGCGUGAGUGAAGAAGGUUUUCGGAUCGUAAAGCUCUGUUGUAAGAGAAGAACGUGUGUGAGAGUGGAAAGUUCACACAGUGACGGUAACUUACCAGAAAGGGACGGCUAACUACGUGCCAGCCGCCGC